This is a non-coding RNA of Coturnix japonica (Japanese quail), 271 nucleotides long. Lineage: Eukaryota; Metazoa; Chordata; Aves; Galliformes; Phasianidae. The record is from RefSeq and is a predicted model, not a curated record.
GUUAUGUGUGAUCGUUAAUGUCCCAGGUUGGAAGAGGGUCGUGGGUCCUGUCUGUCACCAGAGAGCAGAGCUCAGCGCUGCCCCUCUGUGCCCUGUGUUUGAAGACAUGAAUGGCAUUGAGAAUGGCUUGGAUUAUUGAAGAAGUACAUCGAUCUGGUCUCUUUUACAUCAGCGCUCAUAUUUUUUGUCAUGUUUUCAGAUUACUGAGACCAAGCCUGCUCAUCUGUACCACAGCAGUUUCCUCAGGUUCUCUGCCAGCCUUGGCCACCUG